CUGCACAGUAACACGUGGAUAACCUGCCCUUAGGAUUGGCAUAACACCGGGAAACUGGUGAUAAUACCGAAUAGACCAUUUAUGCUGGAAUGCUUUUUGGUUCAAAGGCUUUUAGCUGCCUAAGGAUGGAUCUGCGGCCUAUCAGGUAGUAGUGGGUGUAACGUACCUACUAGCCUACGACGGGUACGGGUUGUGAGAGCAAGAGCCCGGAGAUGGAUUCUGAGACAUGAAUCCAGGCCCUACGGGGCGCAGCAGGCGCGAAAACUUUACAAUGCGGGAAACCGCGAUAAGGGGACACUGAGUGCCAGCAUAUUACGUUGGCUGUCCACAUGUAUAAAAAUCAUGUGUUAGCAAGGGCCGGGCAAGACCGGUGCCAGCCGCCGCGGUAACACCGGCGGCCCGAGUGGUGAUCACUUUUAUUGGGUCUAAAGGGUCCGUAGCCGGUUUGAUCAGUCCUCCGGGAAAUCUGACAGCUCAACUGUUAGGCUUCGGGGGAUACUGUCAGACUUGGGACCGGGAGAGGUAAGAGGUACUACAGGGGUAGGAGUGAAAUCUUGUAAUCCCUGUGGGACCACCAGUGGCGAAGGCGUCUUACCAGAACGGGUCCGACAGUGAGGGACGAAAGCUGGGGGCACGAACCGGAUUAAAUACCCGGGUAGUCCCAGCCGUAAACGAUGCUCGCUAUGUGUCAGGGACGGUGCGACCGUUUCUGGUGCCGCAGGGAAACCGUGAAGCGAGCCACCUGGGAAGUACGGCCGCAAGGCUGAAACUUAAAGGAAUUGGCGGGGGAGCACUACAACGGGUGGAGCCUGCGGUUUAAUUGGACUCAACGCCGGAAUACUCACAGGGGGCGACAGCAAUAUGUAGGUCAGGCUAAAGACCUUACCCGAAUCGCUGAGAGGAGGUGCACGGCCGUCGUCAGUUCGUACUGUGAAGCAUCCUGUUAAGUCAGGCAACGAGCGAGACCCGUGCCCACUGUUGCCAGCAUGUCCUUACGAGGAUGAUGGGUACUCUGUGGGGACCGCCGCUGUUAAAGCGGAGGAAGGUGCGGGCUACGGUAGGUCAGUAUGCCCCGAAUCUCCCGGGCUACACGCGGGCUACAAUGAUUGGGACAAUGGGUCCCUACUCCGA
This 1131-nucleotide ribosomal RNA is filed under the name uncultured archaeon. RNAcentral's name for it is "bacterial SSU rRNA". It matches the Rfam family "Archaeal small subunit ribosomal RNA", at positions 86 to 1214 of the family's 1478-position model. The record is from RNAcentral.